UGUUUGUUGUAAGGAUCGUUGU
This 22-nucleotide microRNA is filed under the name Homo sapiens (human). RNAcentral describes it as "hsa-miR-8068". Lineage: Eukaryota; Metazoa; Chordata; Mammalia; Primates; Hominidae. The record is from miRBase by way of RNAcentral.